UGACCCAAUGGAAAGUAUCUUUCUCUCUCCAAUCUCUCACAUAUCUCUAAGGUAAAGAUCUGCUAUGCAUCUCUCUCACGUCUCUCUAAAACUCUAUACUACCCACCUAUGAGUUAUUCUCCAUGCCUCUUCUAUCUCACAAGAUCAAUCAAAAUUAAAAACCAAGAUCGGCGUGGAUCUCCGUCCGUCAUGCUGCUGCUAUACACGCUUCGAUCUUUUGGCAUGUCGAUCAUGCUUGGUCGUCAUGGGAUGAUUCAGGUGAUCCACCAACUAAUCCCUCUCUGCCGCCAUCAUACUUUUCUUGAUGGCCUAUUCCACGUUCCAUAAGUUCAAUUCGAUUCCAUGAAUCCACUUUACUCCUUUUUACAUAUCUCUCCUUUGAAAUCCAUCGUUGAAGGAGGCAGACAAGACAUAUUCUAUAUUUAUUACGUGGAAUCCAGGUAAUCAAAAUCGACGGUCUGUCAGAUCUAAUACCUACUCCGUAAUAGGUAAAGAGACGGGGCACCUGUUUCAAUUCCUACUGAUCUGAAUCUCACAAAGCCUCGGCAUGAGUAGAACUGAUCUUCCCAUCCUCAAGUCCACUACAUCUGGCGGCCCUUCCUGAAAUUCUAAAUCGAUCAUGCCGUCAAUUUAGCCAAUAAUUAUCUCUCCCGAUCCCGACAACGAUGAGGCGUAUCUCCAAAGUGUUCUUUUUCUGAGGGCAACAUCUCAAGAGUUUGGCGUACGCUGCUACAUGGGGAGAAACUAACCUGCUUUUCCACUGCAUUGUUUUGUGUAAGAUGCUGUUUGCCCAGCCUCUGCCUGCGAUUCCAGCUGAUGUACAAGGACUCUCCAUUGAGAAGCCAGGCUAGGGAAAAGUGUAAUCACACUGGCCUACAUGUCCUGUAGACUGAACUUAUAUAUUGUGCAUCUCAAAAUAACUAUCAGCUAUAUCCUGAGUGCCGAAUACUUUUAGUUGUAUGUAGAAAAUGCUGAAGCAAUAUAAUCUUCACGGAUAUCCAUGUGUGUUUGAAGCACGGAGAGAGAGGAGACCUGGAAACUAAAUGGACCCUCAAAUGGCCGGUACAAGACAGUUUAUGGUAUUUUACUAAACCCCAAAGUUCCGCCUCUAUAACUGUAGGGAAUUAAUGGAGUUAUUCCUGCCAACUUAAAAUGAUGGAUAUUUUGCCUCUCAACUGAGAACGUAUGUAUAUGUAUCUUAUGACCUACUCCGUCUACCAAAUUAUUCUUCAAUAGUUUGCACUUUAAUGGGCUGUGUUUGAUUAUUGGUAAGAGCUUGGCCUUAAAAUUUCUGCAGAUUCUAUGUCGAAGUUUAUCAUAUUUUAUUAUGAGAACAGUAGAUUGACAUAACAAUUAUUGUGCAUGGUGAUAUUGGUUAAUAUGCAUCUGACUUUGCACAUUGUACUAAAUCAAUACAUGCAAACUUAAGCACUUCACCGUCAAUCUUUCCAUACUUGCAUGGUAAUUAAUACCGACCAUGUAACAUUUGGCAGUCUAUUAUGUUUCUUCAACAGGUGGUAAUAACAUUUUUGUCGUCUUACUAUUUUGUAGUGUGAGAAAGCAGUCAAAAGUGUGGCCCUUAAAUUUAAAGAGAGGCGAUGGCAGGUGGGACUACAUACCUGGGUUCUAUAAUAGGAUUUAAAAUGGUUAAAGAGUCCAGAUAAAUAUUUUGGGUAUAUUAUUUGUUCCUUUUGUUUCUUAUUUCCACUGUCUGCAUUUUUAUGUAUUCUUAAUCUAAAGAAGUAAAGAUCAAAUAUAUUGUGUUUUGUUUUUUUA
RNAcentral lists this long non-coding RNA (1776 nucleotides) under Hordeum vulgare. RNAcentral's name for it is "long non-coding RNA (HVUL_LNC015052)". The record is from RNAcentral. Lineage: Eukaryota; Viridiplantae; Streptophyta; Magnoliopsida; Poales; Poaceae.